GAGGUGCUGAUUUUUUCAGUAUAAGCUGCUGUAUGUGUGCCCACUCACCAACAAACAGCAUUAACUGUUGUAUUUAUGUUACUCUAUCAAUGUUAUUCAUUUUAAAAACAAGUCCUGCCUCUAACACACAAAUGGCCAAUCACUGUUCAGAAUUUUGGAGUGGCGCCUGGGCGGCCAAUCAGAUUGAAAAGGGGGAAUGAAUGCAUAUUCAUAUACCAUUUGUCUUUAUUAAGAGGUUUCAAAUUUGAGCAAAACGAUAGAAUUUUAGGGCCUUAUUUGGUCUCCCUUAUGAGAAGUACAGGAAAGUAAAGAAGACACUUAAAGGUCACACAAAUGAAACUAAAUCUGAGCAUUCAUAAGAUAAUUUUGAACCACAAACUAACUUCAAAAACUGAAACUGAAGCAAUUUUUUUUAAACAGGGAAAUUUACUAACAAACUAAUACAGUUUUCAAUCCUGUCACAACCUUGCAGUAGACAGCUCCAUAAUUCUGUGACAUGUAUUGCACAAGUCGCUGCAAUACAAGUAGAAGACAAGAGCACUGCAAACAGCUGCAGUUCGUACCACAGUGACUUGUUACUUCCUUGUUAUGUAAUUAUGAUGAUGCUCUGCACACAGUCAUAGUGCAGCCUACAAACAACAACACCGCGCUCAGUCAGUGACAGAAGUGUUGCACUCUGGGUGCUUAUUACGACAUUUUAAGAAAAUGAAAAUAAAAGUGCUCAUUAUGACGCAAUAUGAAAAUAACGGUGCGCAGUCACUGCACAACUGCAUCUCUGUGAAUACAACAAAAGCACCUCACAUAGCCAUGGUGCAUCUAGCAGUCAUUGCAUUCUAUAGAAAUAUACAAACAACUCUGCAGAGAGCCACAGUGCAUAUAAGAAAAACAAGCAAUUGACACAGCCACAUUUAGUGAUGUUAUGUUAUAAUGUAUCCUACCAAAGAGGAUAAGGGCCACUGUAAAGCAAAAUAAAAAACAGUCCAAUGUAACUUUUUGGUUCAUAUUCUGAGAACUUAAACUAAGAAUUCUUACUUUUUUUUAAAUCCUGACCUUAAUCUCAUACAUCUGACUUUAUUCUCAGAAUUCUGACUGAUUUUGAAAUUCUGACUUUAAUCUUAGAAUUCUGUUUUUUUUUUUAAGAAUCCUGACUAUUCUCAGUACUCUGACUUUUUUAGGGAUCCUGACUUUAAUCUCAGAUUCUGACUUUAUUCUCAAGAUUCUGACUUUUUUAGGAAUCCUGAUUUUAAUCUCAGAUUCUGACUUUAUUCUCAAGAUUCUGACUUUUUUAGGAAUCCUGAUUUUAAUCUCAGAUUCUGACUUUAAUCCCAGAAUUCUAACCCUUUUUAGAAUCCUGACUUUAUUCUCAGAACUCUUACUUUUUUUUUAAUCCUGACUUUUAUCUGAUAAUUCUGACUUUAUUCUUUGAAUUCUGACCUUUUUUCUCAGAAUAAUAAUUUAAAAAAUUAGAUUUUUUUUUUCCAGUGGCCCUUAACCUCUUCCAUUGUAUCCAAAUCAGAACAUUAAAAAGAGUAUCUAUCUAUCACACAGCUUCAUCAGAGCAUCAAUAGAUUGAUACACACAGCUACAGUCCAUCUCUCAUGAACUUUGCCAGAAUGAGACAAAACAACAGGAAAUGUUUCAGGAAUUUAACCUCAACAUAAACUCAACACUGCACUCUGCAGAAGUACACACCACACUGACUUCAUCCAAGAAUGGAAAAAGGCCGCCCAUGGCCACUCUGAAUAUUAUAACAGCUUCAUCAACAUAUUAAGCCAUGCACUUUAUGAUAUUAUGGGUAGAGCUCUGCACAGACAUUGUGAAUAUUACAUUAACUUCAUUUGACUGUAAAAGCACAUCACCACAGUGUGAUGUCUUCAUCAAUUCUGAAGUGUAUGCAGCAGGCUUUGCUAUUUCUUUUAUGACUUUAACAGAAAAGGAGAAGAACAAUGCGCAGCGACACUGUUCAUAUAAUGGCGACUGGACCCAAACAAUCAAGACUCACAGCAACAGCUUUAUGUAAAAAAAUUAUAUUAUCUUACCUUCAUUUGGUUCAUAAGCUUUUCUCCUCCACCUAGACACCCCCGCAGGAAAACUGAGGUUGUCCUCUAUCAGCGUGGAGUCCUCCUCCAACCCGCCAUUUAAAACCAGUGUUGGGGAAAUGCUUGAAGUAACACCGUCCACUUGAGAUUCACAGGCUGGAAGCAGGAAAAUAACACAUGUCCAACACAUGUGAGACUCUCCUUAGAGUUCAUUCCAGUUUGUUCGAAUGAGUUCAGCAGAGAAAGAAAGAUGUUGAGAUGUCCUUAAAGGCCACACUUGCUCCUGCUAUUUUGUGUCCCUUCAUUUGCAAUACUUUUCAUGGUUCUAUGACACAGAUCGGUCUCUGUUUCUCUGCCUCACUUUUCAGCUGGUUGUCUCCUUCAUCUGUGCAAAAACCUUUGACUGGAUUGCCAAAGAAAGUGGUGGGACAGCAGGUUUGGCAGAUUUCUUGUUGCCCAAAGGAGAGCGUUCAUUUACAGUGACUAGGAUUACCAAUGAAACCUUAAAAAACACCAAAUGUCUGCGGAAAAUGAUUUAAAUUUACUCAUGAAUUCAUCAAAGUACCACCACAUGGGAGAAAACUUCCUCUUGUUCUUCUUCUUCAAUGGAGUUUAUUGGCAGUUGGCAAACCAAUUUUACCGCCACCUACUGGACUGGUGAAAACUUCUUCUGGAUUUUUAGGAUAUUCAAAUAACACACUGACUUCAGCAGUUCCUGGGCACCAAUACUCAGGAGGGUGGACCUCAAUAUUUAUCUUGAGCUGAGGGACUCAAAUGCACGACUACAGCAGUAACAAGUUGUAUAUUUUUCUUAUUAGAAUCUGAAACAGGUGAAUCAUGUCUUUUAACUGUUGAAAAAUCUAUGAAAUGACCAAAUGUUGAACAUGGUUGAGUCAGAGAAACCCCCGAUACUUGGUAUGACCCGCUGAUGUCACAAAAUACACUCCUAAGUGUACAAAAAACCAGGAAGUGCUGGGUCGGCUCAUUUAAGGGAGCCCAAAAAGGUAAGAAUGGGCAAAAAAACAUGUAUAUAUAUAUUUAUUUUUUUAAGUCCUUAAAGACUGAAACUGUCUCAUGUUAAAAAAAACUGUAUCAAGCAUUUUUGAACCACCUGUGACUUUUUAUUUGGGAAGCUCAGACACUUUCUACAGAAACAGUACAUUUCAGUCAAGUAAAACAAGCUUUGGAGAUUUGGCUUCAUCUGUCUAUCCCCAAUGGACUGUAGAAGAGUUUAGGUUAUUAAAUCUUCUUUGAGAAACUUUUGGUUUGUCUUGACUCUCCUUCAGCAGCCACUUGUUUGUGGGGGAGCCCUGACGAGUACAGCGGAUCGUUUACAUUAAGUCCUAAUGCGGUAGUUCUUCUGCCUUAGCGUCUCAGUCCGAUUGCAUUUCCAUGAAGUAAUAAUCAUAAAUGUUCUUCCUUGAGCUGCGAAACUCCGCUGCACUCGGUGAUCGACUCGUCAGGGCUCCCCCCCACAAACAAGUGGCUGCUGGAGGAAAGUGGGUGAGUUGUGUUUAGUCUCUUUGCUAAAGAAAUCAGGUAAAGCUAAAAAGAUGUUCGGUGGCUAGUUCUAUGGCCAGGACCCUAUAUGUCCUGUUGAUUAAGUUAGUGCUGUUCUGAGCAUUAUUUGUGGCUAUAGAGUGGCGUUUUUGUUGAGGUUUGCGCAUGGAGGUGUAGACCGCUGUGUAUUGCUAUCGUGCGGUCGAUGCUGAAGUUGGUGUAACUAGAGAAACAAGCAGUCGUCAACAAUUAUCUCUUGAGGGGAUGCCUAACUCGGUGUUACACUGUAUUUGACCAUGACUUAAAUUUUCGCCGGAAUAUCCCUUUAAGACAAGGGUUUAAUAUUCUGAGAACAAUCAUGAGUCUUAAUGCCAUAUUGUUUUUCUUCCCCCAAAAUCUCUACUUUUCCACCUUAAUAAGUUUCCACCUCUUCAUUAUCUCAUUUAAAUAAAUCCUUUCAAUACUUUCAGUAAUUUCAUGCAGGGUUUAAUUAAGGCACAGCUUACAGAUUUACUACCUUUCAUGGGAAAGUGGCUAUUAAUGCCUCAAUCCAAACAAGACACUAUAAAUAAUACAACAACCAGCUUUUAUUUGUGUGAGUCUUGUGGGUAGGUUAAAAACACAGCUGUUGACUGUCAGCUGCACGACUCCUCAAACAGCCGUUAAUCACUCGUGCUCCUCGUGUGCAGUGAGUUCCUGAUCCUCUGAUUUGCCGUCACUUGCUUCACAUAGAAGCCAGCUUUGAAGAGAAGAGACAGGGAAUAGGAAUCUGUUCAACCAGGAGAUAUUGGCAAAUUAUAGUCUCCUUCUACAUCCCUGUGGCAUUUUUAUUGGAGGAAAUAAGGCUGUAAAUGAAAGUCAGAUAUGGAGUAGAGGAUGUUGGGGACAGGUAAAUACAUUAAAAUAAAAAAAAAUGUUUUAGCGACUGAGUUUCAUUUGCAAUUGAUUUGGGUCCAAAAAGGAAAAAAGGGAUGAAAUUGAAAAAUAAGUGAACACUGAUAGUAUCAUGGCUCUGAAAAAUACAGCGUAGAUGUCGCACUAAAAUCGUUCACAGCUGAGAAUUACAUCAGCGUCUCCGGCAUAAAGUUUCCUCUCACUGCUCAGACCUAUUAGCUCAUGCAGCGCUUGUAAAAAAGCACCGCGACACAAUUUACGGGCUCUGUCAAGAACAACAUUACCAACUUUUAUUCAUCUUGUAAAUUUUAUUUUGCAUUCAUCAGUGUCUGUCUCGGAAAAUAAAAAGAAGGAGUAAUAGCAGCAAAGACAAACAGGCCCCGUGACAAAGGGAAUCCUCCGCUCUUACAAGGUCAUUAAACUCAAAAAGAUACAACCCACUGAGAUGUAUAAACUUCACAGCAAGCUAUAAAUUUAAGAGAGGCAUUUCGACUGAGAUUCAUGCCCCUCCCUCAGAAAUAUAGGACACAAAGGUGACAAUGUAUGUUGAUGUGGCUCUGUUGCUGAAGGCCAAAAAUGUGUGUGAUAAACAAGAACCUCAGGGCUCCCACCACAGAUGGAAACCAGAUUGCAUGGUUUUAAAUCAACAUUUUUAAGCCAAGGAUGCUCAUAAAUACACACCUAAGAACAGUUUCAAAGUAGUUCACACUGAGUGUUCAAUCUUCUGUUGAAGCCUGUCAAGUGUUUGGUAUAAAUCUCUCUUCUACUCUUGCAUUUAGGCAUCUCUAAAGCAGAGGCUGGUUCAACAAUAAAGUAAUCCUGAUGCAGAGUGAAUAAUGUUCCAGUCUUGAUGAUACGGCAAUUUUAUCAAAGAGGUCCACAUUUCUAUUUUCAAGGACCCUGCUUUUAAAAUUCUGACUUUUUUUUUAAGAAUUCUGACUUUAAUCUCAAAAUACUGAGAAAAAAGUCAGAAUUCUGACUGUAAUUUUAGAAAUCUGACUUUGAUUCUUUAAUCUCAGAAUUCCAACUUUAAUCAAAGAAUUGAGAAUUUGAUCCCAGAAUUCUGACUUUAAGAAUUCUGACUUUUUUUUAGAGUCCUGACUUUAAUCUUCGAAUUCAGACUUUAAUCAGAUUUAUUUCAAUUUUGAUCUCAGAAUUCUGACUUUUAUCAUAGAAUUCUGACUUUAAUC
Molecule: non-coding RNA, 5623 nt
Organism: Xyrichtys novacula (pearly razorfish)
Lineage: Eukaryota; Metazoa; Chordata; Actinopteri; Labriformes; Labridae
Source: the annotation of a GenBank genome assembly